GAUGAACGCUGACAGAAUGCUUAACACAUGCAAGUCAACUUGAAUUUGGGCUUUUAACUUAGGUUUGGGUGGCGGACGGGUGAGUAACGCGUAAAGAACUUGCCUCCCAGCUAGGGACAACAUUUGGAAACGAAUGCUAAUACCUAAUAUUAUGAUAAUAGGGCAUCCUAUAAUUAUGAAAGCUAUAAGCGCUGUGAGAGAGCUUUGCGUCCCAUUAGCUAGUUGGAGAGGUAACGGCUCACCAAGGCGAUGAUGGGUAGCCGGCCUGAGAGGGUGAUCGGCCACAAGGGGACUGAGACACGGCCCUUACUCCUACGGGAGGCAGCAGUGGGGAAUAUUGGACAAUGGACCGAGAGUCUGAUCCAGCAAUUCUGUGUGCACGAUGAAGUUUUUCGGAAUGUAAAGUGCUUUCAGUUGGGAAGAAACAAAUGACGGUACCAACAGAAGAAGUGACGGCUAAAUACGUG
This 467-nucleotide ribosomal RNA is filed under the name uncultured bacterium. RNAcentral's name for it is "partial 16S ribosomal RNA". It matches the Rfam family "Bacterial small subunit ribosomal RNA", at positions 28 to 507 of the family's 1533-position model. The record is from RNAcentral.